Molecule: unclassified non-coding RNA, 200 nt
Filed under: uncultured fungus
Lineage: Eukaryota; Fungi
Description: sequence contains ITS1
Source: RNAcentral
ACGUAUCUACAGGCGGACGCCUCGCGCCCUGCUCCGGUCGAGAGGCCGUGCAGCGGGUGUCUGGUGCCCGUCGAACCUUCACAAACCCACUGUGCACCUUUGCGGUGGAGGCGACCGGGCGAGAGCUCGGCCGCUGAAGCCGCCUCACUAAACCCUGUAUUAAGAAUGUCACGCGUCCUUUGAGUCGCCCAUAAACAUAA